RNAcentral lists this ribosomal RNA (1326 nucleotides) under human gut metagenome. RNAcentral describes it as "bacterial LSU rRNA". It matches the Rfam family "Bacterial large subunit ribosomal RNA", at positions 1126 to 2339 of the family's 2925-position model. The record is from RNAcentral.
AAGAGUGCGUAACAGCUCACUGGUCUAGUGGUUCCGCGCCGACAAUGUAGCGGGGCUCAAGCACACCACCGAAGACGCGGCAGUAUUUUGUACUGGGUAGGAGAGCGUCCCAUGAGGGGCGAAGCGGCCGUGUGAACGCGCCGUGGACUUCAUGGGAGUGAGAAUGCAGACAUGAGUAGCGAGAGACGGGUGAAGAUCCCGUCCGCUGGAUGACCAAGGGUUCCAGGGCCACGUUCAUCGUCCCUGGGUGAGUCGGGUCCUAAGGCGAGGCCGACAGGCGUAGUCGAAUGGAUGAACGGGUCGAUAUUCCCGUACCGGCUUUCAGCCGCCAAAACCGAGGCUUGGAGUACUAACCUCCGGGUCCGGGCUUACUGCUCCUUCGGGGGCGGGAUGCCCUGGCCUGUUGGGACCGAUCCUUGUAGUAGGUCAGCGCAGGAGUGACGCAGAAGGGUAGCCGGCCGCGGAGGUGGUCUUCCGUGGUCAAGCACGCAGGGCGUGGGACAGGCAAAUCCGUCCCGCAUGGGUCCGAGGUGCGAUGAUGGGGGCCUUAUGGCCCGAUAUCCGGUGAUCCCGGCUGCCGAGAAAAGCUUCGGCGUCAGGCUCAAAGCCGCCCGUACCCCAAACCGACACUGGUGGUCAGGUAGAGAAUACCAAAGCGAUCGAGCGAAUCCUGGUCAAGGAACUCGGCAAAUCACUCCCGUUCCUUCGGUUUAAGGGAGACCCCCGAUGGUGAACACGCUUGCUGUGGGAGCUUUUGGGGGUGGCACAGACCAGGGGGUAGCGACUGUUUACCAAAAACACAGGUGCAUGCGAAGGCGCAAGCCGCUGUAUAUGCACUGACGCCUGCCCGGUGCCGGAAGGUUAAGAGGAUCCGUCAGCCUUCGGGUGAAGCGGUGAAUUCAAGCCCCGGUAAACGGCGGUGGUAACUAUAACCAUCCUAAGGUAGCGAAAUUCCUUGUCGGGUAAGUUCCGACCUGCACGAAUGGCGUAACGACUUCCCCACUGUCUCGACCAGGAGCUCGGCGAAAUUGCAGUACGAGUAAAGAUGCUCGUUAAGCGCAGAAGGACGAAAAGACCCCGGGACCUUUACUAUACCUUGGUAUUGGCAUUCGGUGUGGAUUGUGUAGCAUAGGCGGGAGGCCGAGAGGCGCGGUCGCCAGAUCGCGCGGAGCCGUAAGGUGAAAUACCGCUCUGUUCGCAUUGGAUGUCUAACCUCGAACAGUCAUCCUGUUCAGGGACAGUGCCUGGCGGGUAGUUUAACUGGGGCGGUUGCCUCCCAAAGAGUAACGGAGGCGCCCAAAGGUCCGCUCAGCCCGGUUGGCAAUC